Molecule: long non-coding RNA, 1252 nt
Filed under: Anser cygnoides (Swan goose)
Lineage: Eukaryota; Metazoa; Chordata; Aves; Anseriformes; Anatidae
Description: lncRNA (ENSACDG00005003454.1)
Source: RNAcentral
AUGGUGUCAAACAGCACUGACAAGACGGUGAAAGAGUUUAUAGACCAAAUCAAAAACGUGACGGAGGAGAAGGUAGAGAAAGUUGUGAUUCACUUUUUAUAUGAGAAAAAUAGUUCUGCCUUUGGAAGUGUGAAUGAAACAAAACCAGCAACAUGCAUAUGUGACAUGAGGAACGCAUCCGGGGUGGAAGAUGGAACCAACAAGACCCAGCAGGAAUCUGAGCCUGAGACGUCUCCGACCAGCACCCCUGAGCCUCAGAUCCAGGAAGGAAUCAUCCACACGUAUAUCAUCCCUGGAUUGGUGGUUUUGUCGCUUUUCUUCCUGAUUUGUGUUUUGGCGUGUUUGUGCAGAAGGAAUCAAAGGAAUGCUAAAGGAAAAUCCGAAAGCAAGCAUGUGGCAGAGAUGAAUCAGCUCAGCACGCCUCAAAACGAGGAGGUGGUGUAUACGAAGCUGAAGUUUGAAAAGACGGAGACGAAGCCUGCUGCCUCAGAAGUUGUUUACGCUGAGAUAAAACCACAACAGAAGUAGAGAGCUGAGAAUGCCCGUGCUGCUGAUGCAAAGGGAAGGUUCUCCUACUGGGCACAGGGCAAGUGAGUGAUAAAGGAGGGACAAACAGCUUGUCACAUGCUUGCCACAGUUGCGAUCCCUGAAAACCAGGGGUCUGGUUUUCACAAUCUGAAACCACUGCUCUAAGGCAGUGCAAUCUUGGCCAUCAAAACCUUCUGUUUACCCCCAAGCGGCUGUACGUAUACUUCACAUUCUGAGGUGGAAGCCAGCUCUCUAGCUGGGACAGGUCCCCCUUGUCAUCCCGCAGAAAGGCCUCAGCAGCUUAUCAGUGGUGACCACUUCUAGCAACUUGCGCCGUGCCUCAGUAUCAGCAGCAGGCGCUGUGUGGCCGCCCCAGCCUGGGAAGCACUCAGUGUCCCAGUAGUGCUGGAGCAAGUGGCCCUCUGGGAAGCUCUCCUGCCAGCACUGGGUGAUGUAUGCGCUGUGAAAGCCCUGAAGCAAUUUUCUGGAUUUCCUUGCUAUGUCCAGAGCAGGCAUCUUCUGUGACGAAUUUCACCCUUGUCUGAUUCACUCGCUUGAAAUACAAGAAGCAAGACAGAAAGGAAUAGUUUGCUUUGCAGAGGUCCAACGUGGCUACAGCUGAAAUGAUUUGCUUUAUACCAGGAAUUGACACAUGUCCUUGUGUAUAUAGAGCUUUACUCUAAUUUGAAAAAAUAAAAAUAAAAGGUGAAGUUUUUUGCUGUCA